GAAGGAACUAGGCAAAAUGGUACCGUAACUUCGGGAGAAGGUACGCUCUUAUCAGUGAAGUCCCUUGCGGAUGGAGCAGACGAGAGUCGCAGAUACCAGGUGGCUGCAACUGUUUAUUAAAAACACAGCACUGUGCAAAAUCGUAAGAUGACGUAUACGGUGUGACGCCUGCCCGGUGCCGGAAGGUUAAUUGAUGGGGUUAGACUUCGGUCGAAGCUCUUGAUCGAAGCCCCGGUAAACGGCGGCCGUAACUAUAACGGUCCUAAGGUAGCGAAAUUCCUUGUCGGGUAAGUUCCGACCUGCACGAAUGGCGUAAUGAUGGCCACGCUGUCUCCACCCGAGACUCAGUGAAAUUGAAAUCGCUGUGAAGAUGCAGUGUACCCGCGGCUAGACGGAAAGACCCCGUGAACCUUUACUACAGCUUGGCACUGAACAUUGAACCUACAUGUGUAGGAUAGGUGGGAGACUUUGAAACCGCGUCGCUAGAUGUGGUGGAGUCGUCCUUGAAAUACCACCCUUGUAGUUUUGAUGUUCUAACGUUGGUCCCUGAAUCGGGAUUACGGACAGUGCCUGGUGGGUAGUUUGACUGGGGCGGUCUCCUCCCAAAGAGUAACGGAGGAGCACGAAGGUGGGCUAAACACGGUUGGACAUCGUGUGGUUAGUGCAAUGGCAUAAGCCCGCUUGACUGCGAGAAUGACAAUUCGAGCAGGUGCGAAAGCAGGUCAUAGUGAUCCGGUGGUUCUGAAUGGAAGGGCCAUCGCUCAACGGAUAAAAGGUACUCCGGGGAUAACAGGCUGAUACCGCCCAAGAGUUCAUAUCGACGGCGGUGUUUGGCACCUCGAUGUCGGCUCAUCACAUCCUGGGGCUGAAGUCGGUCCCAAGGGUAUGGCUGUUCGCCAUUUAAAGUGGUACGCGAGCUGGGUUUAGAACGUCGUGAGACAGUUCGGUCCCUAUCUGCCGUGGGCGUUGGAAAAUUGAAAGGGGCUGCUCCUAGUACGAGAGGACCGGAGUGGACGAACCUCUGGUGUUCGGGUUGUCAUGCCAAUGGCAUUGCCCGGUAGCUAAGUUCGGAAUCGAUAACCGCUGAAAGCAUCUAAGCGGGAAGCGAGCCUUGAGAUGAGUUUUCCCUG
This 1130-nucleotide ribosomal RNA is filed under the name Vibrio splendidus. Its description in RNAcentral is "bacterial LSU rRNA". It matches the Rfam family "Bacterial large subunit ribosomal RNA", at positions 1706 to 2817 of the family's 2925-position model. Lineage: Bacteria; Pseudomonadati; Pseudomonadota; Gammaproteobacteria; Vibrionales; Vibrionaceae. The record is from RNAcentral.